UAAACUACGAUUAGAUACCCUAUUAUUUUAAAUGUAAAUAGUAAUACUUGAGUAGUAAUAGUUAUGUUCUUGAAACUCAAAGAAUUUGGCGGUGUUUUAGUCCUUUCAGAGGAACCUGUCCCGUAAUCGAUACCCCACGUAGAACCUUACUUAAAUUUGUUUUCAGCUUGUAUACCGCCGUCGUCAGAAUGUCUUUAGAAGGAUUGAAUUUUCUUAAAUUUUUAUUAAAAAUGAUGUCAGGUCAAGGUGCAGUUUAUGUUUAAGUGGAGAUGGGUUACAAUAAAUUUAUUUAAUAAUGGAUAUAUCUUUGAAAAAAGGUGUUAAAAGUGGAUUUGAUAGUAAUUUAAUUAAUUAUGUUAAUUUGAUUUUGGCUCUAAAACAUGCACACAUCGCCCGUCGCUCUUA
This 405-nucleotide ribosomal RNA is filed under the name Austrocerca rieki. RNAcentral describes it as "partial 12S ribosomal RNA". The stretch from base 50 to 405 matches the Rfam family "Microsporidia small subunit ribosomal RNA", at positions 752 to 1207 of the family's 1311-position model. Lineage: Eukaryota; Metazoa; Arthropoda; Insecta; Plecoptera; Notonemouridae. The record is from RNAcentral.